Molecule: ribosomal RNA, 301 nt
Filed under: uncultured bacterium
Lineage: Bacteria
Description: partial 16S ribosomal RNA
Rfam family: Bacterial small subunit ribosomal RNA
Source: RNAcentral
CAGCAGCCGCGGUAAUACGAGGGGGGCAAGCGUUGUUCGGAAUUAUUGGGCGUAAAGGGUGCGUAGGCGGUUUGGCAAGUUUGGUGUGAAAUCUUCGGGCUCAACUCGAAGUCUGCAUCGAAAACUGCCGGGCUUGAGUAUGGGAGAGGUGAGUGGAAUUUCCGGUGUAGCGGUGAAAUGCGUAGAUAUCGGAAGGAACACCUGUGGCGAAAGCGGCUCACUGGACCAUAACUGACGCUGAUGCACGAAAGCUAGGGGAGCAAACAGGAUUAGAUACCCCCGUAGUCCCUGUCUCUUAUAA